This is a long non-coding RNA of Oncorhynchus keta (chum salmon), 648 nucleotides long. RefSeq lists it as uncharacterized. The transcript is spliced from 3 exons. The record is from RefSeq and is a predicted model, not a curated record. NCBI's taxonomy places the organism in Eukaryota, Metazoa, Chordata, Actinopteri, Salmoniformes, Salmonidae.
GUUGUCCUUGAUGAGAUUCAAACAUGUAACCUUUGGGUUGCUAGAUGUUUGCGUUAUUUGCCCACCAAUCCACAACCAUCCAUCCAAACAACAACCAAAUCCUGCAACCCAGGGUCCAUACAGGUCGUAUGAAAUCCUGCAACCCAGGGUCCAUACAGGUCGUAUGAAAUCCUGCAACCCAGGGUCCAUACAGAUCGUAUGAAAUCCUGCAACCCAGGGUCCAUACAGGUCGUAUGAAAUCCUGCAACCCAGGGUCCAUACAGAUCGUAUGAAAUCCUGCAACCCAGGGUCCAUACAGGUCGUAUGAAAUCCUGCAACCCAGGGUCCAUACAGAUCGUAUGAAAUCCUGCAACCCAGGGUCCAUACAGAUCGUAUGAAAUCCUGCAACCCAGGGUCCAUACAGAUCGUAUGAAAUCCUGCAACCCAGGGUCCAUACAGAUCGUAUGAUUCUGUUUGUUUUGCACUCCAGAGAAGAUAUGAUAUCUCCAGUUGAUAUUUGCUGCUAACAUGAAUGACUUUCAGCUAAAAAAAAAUCCAGGUGUUAAACACAGUUUAUUGUUGUAUCUUGCAUUUUGAAAAUGCAUGGCUGUAGUGACCAGUCAUUCACAUGUACACUAGACGACCGACAGGGCUCUGUUUUGAAGCCAC